RNAcentral lists this ribosomal RNA (207 nucleotides) under uncultured bacterium. RNAcentral describes it as "partial 16S ribosomal RNA". It matches the Rfam family "Bacterial small subunit ribosomal RNA", at positions 568 to 774 of the family's 1533-position model. The record is from RNAcentral.
CGCGUAGGCGGUCUCGUAAGUCAGGUGUGAAAGCCCGGGGCUUAACCCCGGAAGUGCAUUUGAAACUACGAGACUUGAGUAUGGGAGAGGGAAGUGGAAUUCCUGGUGUAGAGGUGAAAUUCGUAGAUAUCAGGAGGAACACCGGUGGCGAAGGCGACUUCCUGGACCAAUACUGACGCUGAGGCGCGAAGGCGUGGGGAGCAAACA